AGUGAACGCUGGCGGUAGGCCUAACACAUGCAAGUCGAACGGCAGCACAGAGGAGCUUGCUCCUUGGGUGGCGAGUGGCGGACGGGUGAGGAAUACAUCGGAAUCUACUCUGUCGUGGGGGAUAACGUAGGGAAACUUACGCUAAUACCGCAUACGACCUACGGGUGAAAGCAGGGGACCUUCGGGCCUUGCGCGAUUGAAUGAGCCGAUGUCGGAUUAGCUAGUUGGCGGGGCAAAGGCCCACCAAGGCGACGAUCCGUAGCUGGUCAGAGAGGAUGAUCAGCCACACUGGAACUGAGACACGGUCCAGACUCCUACGGGAGGCAGCAGUGGGGAAUAUUGGACAAUGGGCGCAAGCCUGAUCCAGCCAUACCGCGUGGGUGAAGAAGGCCUUCGGGUUGUAAAGCCCUUUUGUUGGGAAAGAAAUCCAGCUGGCUAAUACCCGGUUGGGAUGACGGUACCCAAAGAAUAAGCACCGGCUAACUUCGUGCCAGCCGCCGCAGUAA
This 506-nucleotide ribosomal RNA is filed under the name uncultured bacterium. RNAcentral describes it as "partial 16S ribosomal RNA". It matches the Rfam family "Bacterial small subunit ribosomal RNA", at positions 29 to 523 of the family's 1533-position model. The record is from RNAcentral.